AGAUGACACUGAAAUCAUGGUUGCAACCUACAUAUUUGGAACAAAUAAAGAUAAUGAGUUUGGGAGGCAAGAGAUAUUAGCAAAAGGAUGCAAAUUUGAUGCAACCAGAUAUUCUUUUUUUAACUUAAUUCCAAAGGGUUGGAUUGACCAAACUAUACUGGACGUAUAUGCUCAUAUGCUAAAUGAUGAGGAGAAGACUACUUCCGGAGUUUUAAGACAUUGGUA
This is a non-coding RNA of Arachis ipaensis, 225 nucleotides long. Lineage: Eukaryota; Viridiplantae; Streptophyta; Magnoliopsida; Fabales; Fabaceae. The record is from RefSeq and is a predicted model, not a curated record.